Molecule: ribosomal RNA, 488 nt
Filed under: uncultured bacterium
Lineage: Bacteria
Description: bacterial SSU rRNA
Rfam family: Bacterial small subunit ribosomal RNA
Source: RNAcentral
GACGAGCGCUGGCGGCGCACCUCAUGCAUGCAAGUCGAACGAGGCUUCGGCCUAGUGGCGAACGGGUGAGUAACACGUGAGGAACCUGCCCCGGAGACCGGGAUAAGCCGGGGAAACCUGGUCUAAUACCGGAUGCCCCCGGCGGAGCGCAUGCUCUGCCGAGGAAAUGGAUUCCGCUCCGGGAUGGUCUCGCGACCUAUCAGCUUGUUGGCGGGGUAACGGCCCACCAAGGCAUCGACGGGUAGCUGGUCUGAGAGGACGAUCAGCCACACUGGGACUGAGACACGGCCCAGACUCCUACGGGAGGCAGCAGCAGGGAAUCUUGCGCAAUGGGCGAAAGCCUGACGCAGUGACGCCGCGUGUGGGAUGAAGGCUUUCGGGUUGUAAACCACUUUCAGCAGGGACGAUGAUGACGGUACCUGCAGAAGAAGCUCCGGCCAACUACGUGCCAGCAGCCGCGGUAAUACGUAGGGAGCGAGCGUGUCGGU